RNAcentral lists this transfer RNA (73 nucleotides) under Candidatus Wolfebacteria bacterium RIFOXYB1_FULL_54_12. RNAcentral's name for it is "tRNA-Thr". It matches the Rfam family "tRNA". From Rfam's summary of the family: Transfer RNA (tRNA) molecules are approximately 80 nucleotides in length. Lineage: Bacteria; Candidatus Wolfeibacteriota. RNAcentral also lists the same sequence under 1 other name. The record is from RNAcentral.
GCCGAUGUAGCUCAGUUGGUAGAGCAGCUCCAUGGUAAGGAGCAGGUCGAAGGUUCGAAUCCUUUCAUCGGCU